GCAAGUCUCAGUGCACACGGUUCAACAGUGGGUCUGUGAAUGGCUCCUUACAUCAGCAGUCAUCUACGUGAUAGAGUGUGGCAAGCACCGAUCGCCAAGGUGCUCAUCUGGACAUCCUCCAAAACCUAGUGGCUAAUACACGCAAGCAACGAUCCACCAAGUGCUCGAGAGUCGUGUCUGGCUUCGGUCAGACCGAACCGGUUGAUGGAUGGCGCUCAGUUGAGAGAAAGACCAGUGCCAGCAAUGGCAGUGUUGCGAUGUUGACUCAGACUGAUCCCUAUGGGACAGCAGCGCUGGCAGAGUUGUCGUGGGCUAACACCCACGUCUGCUUGAUCGCACGAACUUCUGACCUAUCAGCUAGACUGUGGUGCAGUGGACCACAGUGGCAGUGACGGGUAACGGAGAAUCUGGGUUCGAUUCCGGAGAGGGAGCCUGAGACACGGCUACCACUACCAAGGUGGGCAGCAGGCGCGCAAAUUGCCCAAUACAGAGACAGUGUGUGAGGCAGCGACGAACUGCAGCAAUCCUGCUGGCUUCAUUGUCAGCAGGACUUGGAAUGGAUGCUAUCCAAACACAGUGAUGAGUAACAACUGGAGGGCAAGUCUGGUGCCAGCAGCUGCGGUAAUUCCAGCUCCAAGGGCGUAUACUAACAUUGCUGCUGUUAAAACACUUGUAGUCUGCCACUGGGUGCAGGUCUGUCGCUGGCCGUUCGACUGGAUGGACUCGUCUGUCUGGUAGUUCGGAGCAACCACGACAGUAGGUCCCUGUGCCCAACUCGAUUGGAUGGUUGGUCUGCUCCUGCUCGAAGUCUUCUUCAGUGAAGGCCAAGGCUGUUCUACACCCAAGGCAUGUUGGGCGAGAAGGUGGCGAGUCCCAGUGUCUCGCAGUCCACACCCGUCCACAACCGGAGCCAACUGUCAGUGAUACCCUGGUAAACUCAGUGUGCUCAAAGCAUCCGAUCCUCGGCCGGAUGAUCGUCCAUGGCAUGUCAAAGCAUCGACCGAGCGUGGCAAUGGAGUUGUGCUGGCCUUGGUGCCAACUCAGGGCAAUCUGGCGCUGUACUUCGGCUGGGAAAGCGGCUGAGUCCUCGGACAAGGCUGUCGGAACAGUCGCGAGUGGCAGUGGCCGAACGGAGACGAUGGAACUGCUCAGGGUGGAAGGUAUUGCAACGCCAGAGGUGAAAUUCUUAGACCGUUGCAGGACCAACUGCAGCGAAGGCGUUCUGCAAGUGCAUGUUCGUCGAUCAAGAAUGAGAGCUUGGGGAGCGAAGAUGAUCAGACACCGUCGUAGUCCAAGGCUGUAAACCAUGCCAGCUCGGCAUUGGUGUGGCAAUGAUCUAUCACACACCGCAUCAGGGCCAAUCCCCCUACAACGAGUAAUCCAAGCCAUUGGGUUCAGGGGGGAGUACUGUCGCAAGGCUGAAACUUAAAGGAAUUGACGGAAUGGCACCACAAGGCGUGGAGUAUGCGGCUUAAUUUGACUCAACACGGGGAACGUUACCAGGUCAGGACAUUGUCAGGAUGGACAGACUGAGAGCUCUUUCUUGAUCCGAUGGACGGUGGUGCAUGGCCGCUCCUGAUUGGUGGAGUGAUUUGUCUGGUUGAUUCCGAUAACGAGUGAGAUCUCUGCCUAACACUAGCCCCUGUCUCGCAUCUGGUAGGGCUGAGACCGAUGAGAAGCGGUUGGCUUCUAGCCAACGUCUGCCUCGUCGUGUUCUCCCCGAGAGUGCAGGGUAUCAAGCUUCUCUGAGGUGCUGUGUCUGCUUCCAAAGCCACGCAUGCUAGAGCCAACAGCAGGUCUGUGAUGCUCCCAGAUGUUCUGGGCCGCACGCGCACUACAUUGACACAGUGAAGGUGUGAAGCUGCACUCGUGCAGCCCUGAUCAGAAGGUGAUUCGGAAACCAUGCAAGCCUGUGCUGUACUGGGGAUAGAUGAUUGCAACUGUCUGCCUUGAACGAGGAAUGCCUAGUAUGCGCUUGUCAUCAGCAAGCACCGAUUGUGUCCCUGCCAUUUGUACACACCGCCCGUCGUUGCUACCGAUGACAGCUGGAUAGAGCCAUCAGGAGGUCCAACAGACUACAGUUCGCUGAGUCUCGAG
Molecule: ribosomal RNA, 2097 nt
Filed under: Strombomonas gibberosa
Lineage: Eukaryota; Euglenozoa; Euglenophyceae; Euglenales; Euglenaceae
Description: SSU rRNA
Rfam family: Eukaryotic small subunit ribosomal RNA
Source: RNAcentral